This 140-nucleotide ribosomal RNA is filed under the name uncultured bacterium. Its description in RNAcentral is "partial 16S ribosomal RNA". It matches the Rfam family "Bacterial small subunit ribosomal RNA", at positions 394 to 525 of the family's 1533-position model. The record is from RNAcentral.
ACGCCGCGUGGGUGAUGAAGGCCUUCGGGUUGUAAAACCCUGUCAGGUGGGAAGAAAUGUACUGUGGUUAAUAUCCGUGGUAUUUGACGGUACCACCAAAGGAAGCACCGGCUAACUCCGUGCCAGCAGCCGCGGUAAUA